CGACCAGCAGAUCAGAGGAGACGGACCUCCAGACCCUCAAUCACCGCUGAGCCGCCCUGCUUUCAUGUGAGACGUUAAAGCGCACAAUAGAACCCGCCGACGAUAACGACCAGAUAACGAUCGGGGGGCUGAAGCGCUCGUCACGGCGGGGUCAGGAGGUGAUGUCCUGAUCGCUGUGAUGACGUUUUAUUCGGGAGGGGGGGGCAGCUGUUUCCUGCUUCAGCACUACGCCGAGGGAAACAACCGUGCUGGAGGUGGCAGGACAGGUUUGCGGAGCCCCGGGGGCCUUCGGCUGCUGGUCCCUCCUCACUUGGCCCCCGCAGCCCUGCUGCUGCACAUCAACCAUGCAAGUCUGCGGCGAUCAACACCGAUGAAGAGUCAUCAUCGUCUUCCUCAGCAGAUGAGGAUUGCUUCACUCCGUUUUCUCUUCCUGCUGACUCGUCUGUGAUGAAAUCCCUCUUUCGCAAACGCUCCAUGUGCUCAGGUUAUGAAACGCAGGUUGUAAAAGUCCUCUGAAGCCUGAAAUAAAGACA
This is a long non-coding RNA of Gasterosteus aculeatus aculeatus (three-spined stickleback), 533 nucleotides long. Lineage: Eukaryota; Metazoa; Chordata; Actinopteri; Perciformes; Gasterosteidae. The record is from Ensembl.